This is a long non-coding RNA of Vicia villosa (hairy vetch), 420 nucleotides long. RefSeq lists it as uncharacterized. Lineage: Eukaryota; Viridiplantae; Streptophyta; Magnoliopsida; Fabales; Fabaceae. The transcript is spliced from 2 exons. The record is from RefSeq and is a predicted model, not a curated record.
GCCUAUUCCAAUUUGUUACUUGUACCUAUCAAAAAAUAAUGGCAACCCACAUCAAUUUUCUUCUUUUUAUCUUUGCAAUUAUAUGCAUUGCUUCAACCAUGGUUACAGAAGGAGGUUUGACAGGGAGAGGAAAAUGUGUUAUUAUGGGAGCAUGUCCGGAUGGACAACAACAGUGUUACAACUAUUGGAAGUCAAGAGGUUUCUCUAAAGGUGGCGAGUGUGUGAAAGAUACAAACUUUUGUUGUUACACUACUUGAAGAGAUUUAUGUUUGAUAAUUGCACUUUUUCAAUAUGUUUAUACAAGCUUAUCUACAAAAAGUCUUUAUGAUUUUCAUUAAAAAUAAGAUUAAAAGGUGUAAUUUCAAUUAAAAAUAAUAAUACUAUGAUUGUAGUAUAAAUAAAAAGUUAUAUUUUAACAUA